RNAcentral lists this ribosomal RNA (2459 nucleotides) under Escherichia coli. RNAcentral describes it as "partial 23S ribosomal RNA". It matches the Rfam family "Bacterial large subunit ribosomal RNA", at positions 375 to 2822 of the family's 2925-position model. The record is from RNAcentral. Lineage: Bacteria; Pseudomonadati; Pseudomonadota; Gammaproteobacteria; Enterobacterales; Enterobacteriaceae.
GUACACAAAAAUGCACAUAUUGUGAGCUCGAUGAGUAGGGCGGGACACGUGGUAUCCUGUCUGAAUAUGGGGGGACCAUCCUCCAAGGCUAAAUACUCCUGACUGACCGAUAGUGAACCAGUACCGUGAGGGAAAGGCGAAAAGAACCCCGGCGAGGGGAGUGAAAAAGAACCUGAAACCGUGUACGUACAAGCAGUGGGAGCCUCUUUAUGGGGUGACUGCGUACCUUUUGUAUAAUGGGUCAGCGACUUAUAUUCUGUAGCAAGGUUAACCGAAUAGGGGAGCCGAAGGGAAACCGAGUCUUAACUGGGCGUUAAGUUGCAGGGUAUAGACCCGAAACCCGGUGAUCUAGCCAUGGGCAGGUUGAAGGUUGGGUAACACUAACUGGAGGACCGAACCGACUAAUGUUGAAAAAUUAGCGGAUGACUUGUGGCUGGGGGUGAAAGGCCAAUCAAACCGGGAGAUAGCUGGUUCUCCCCGAAAGCUAUUUAGGUAGCGCCUCGUGAAUUCAUCUCCGGGGGUAGAGCACUGUUUCGGCAAGGGGGUCAUCCCGACUUACCAACCCGAUGCAAACUGCGAAUACCGGAGAAUGUUAUCACGGGAGACACACGGCGGGUGCUAACGUCCGUCGUGAAGAGGGAAACAACCCAGACCGCCAGCUAAGGUCCCAAAGUCAUGGUUAAGUGGGAAACGAUGUGGGAAGGCCCAGACAGCCAGGAUGUUGGCUUAGAAGCAGCCAUCAUUUAAAGAAAGCGUAAUAGCUCACUGGUCGAGUCGGCCUGCGCGGAAGAUGUAACGGGGCUAAACCAUGCACCGAAGCUGCGGCAGCGACACUAUGUGUUGUUGGGUAGGGGAGCGUUCUGUAAGCCUGUGAAGGUGGCCUGUGAGGGUUGCUGGAGGUAUCAGAAGUGCGAAUGCUGACAUAAGUAACGAUAAAGCGGGUGAAAAGCCCGCUCGCCGGAAGACCAAGGGUUCCUGUCCAACGUUAAUCGGGGCAGGGUGAGUCGACCCCUAAGGCGAGGCCGAAAGGCGUAGUCGAUGGGAAACAGGUUAAUAUUCCUGUACUUGGUGUUACUGCGAAGGGGGGACGGAGAAGGCUAUGUUGGCCGGGCGACGGUUGUCCCGGUUUAAGCGUGUAGGCUGGUUUUCCAGGCAAAUCCGGAAAACCAAGGCUGAGGCGUGAUGACGAGGCACUACGGUGCUGAAGCGACAAAUGCCCUGCUUCCAGGAAAAGCCUCUAAGCAUCAGGUAACAUCAAAUCGUACCCCAAACCGACACAGGUGGUCAGGUAGAGAAUACCAAGGCGCUUGAGAGAACUCGGGUGAAGGAACUAGGCAAAAUGGUGCCGUAACUUCGGGAGAAGGCACGCUGAUAUGUAGGUGAAGCGACUUGCUCGUGGAGCUGAAAUCAGUCGAAGAUACCAGCUGGCUGCAACUGUUUAUUAAAAACACAGCACUGUGCAAACACGAAAGUGGACGUAUACGGUGUGACGCCUGCCCGGUGCCGGAAGGUUAAUUGAUGGGGUUAGCGGUAACGCGAAGCUCUUGAUCGAAGCCCCGGUAAACGGCGGCCGUAACUAUAACGGUCCUAAGGUAGCGAAAUUCCUUGUCGGGUAAGUUCCGACCUGCACGAAUGGCGUAAUGAUGGCCAGGCUGUCUCCACCCGAGACUCAGUGAAAUUGAACUCGCUGUGAAGAUGCAGUGUACCCGCGGCAAGACGGAAAGACCCCGUGAACCUUUACUAUAGCUUGACACUGAACAUUGAGCCUUGAUGUGUAGGAUAGGUGGGAGGCUUUGAAGUGUGGACGCCAGUCUGCAUGGAGCCGACCUUGAAAUACCACCCUUUAAUGUUUGAUGUUCUAACGUUGGCCCGUAAUCCGGGUUGCGGACAGUGUCUGGUGGGUAGUUUGACUGGGGCGGUCUCCUCCUAAAGAGUAACGGAGGAGCACGAAGGUUGGCUAAUCCUGGUCGGACAUCAGGAGGUUAGUGCAAUGGCAUAAGCCAGCUUGACUGCGAGCGUGACGGCGCGAGCAGGUGCGAAAGCAGGUCAUAGUGAUCCGGUGGUUCUGAAUGGAAGGGCCAUCGCUCAACGGAUAAAAGGUACUCCGGGGAUAACAGGCUGAUACCGCCCAAGAGUUCAUAUCGACGGCGGUGUUUGGCACCUCGAUGUCGGCUCAUCACAUCCUGGGGCUGAAGUAGGUCCCAAGGGUAUGGCUGUUCGCCAUUUAAAGUGGUACGCGAGCUGGGUUUAGAACGUCGUGAGACAGUUCGGUCCCUAUCUGCCGUGGGCGCUGGAGAACUGAGGGGGGCUGCUCCUAGUACGAGAGGACCGGAGUGGACGCAUCACUGGUGUUCGGGUUGUCAUGCCAAUGGCACUGCCCGGUAGCUAAAUGCGGAAGAGAUAAGUGCUGAAAGCAUCUAAGCACGAAACUUGCCCCGAGAUGAGUUCUCCCUGACUCC